RNAcentral lists this long non-coding RNA (4370 nucleotides) under Xyrichtys novacula (pearly razorfish). Lineage: Eukaryota; Metazoa; Chordata; Actinopteri; Labriformes; Labridae. The record is from RNAcentral.
GCCUGGCUCUUUCUUUCAUAGAUGUUGGCAUAUAAAAUAAAUUUGACUCACAAAACUGAAUAUUAUAAUAUUCGUAUGUAGGCUUAAAGUGAAUAACUCAUCUGAUUACUGAAACAAAUAAUCUGUUCAGCCGCCCCAGCAGCAGCUGCAGCAGGACGGGGAGAGGAUACGGAGACAUGUCCAGGUCGAGCUGCGUGAGAAAUAAGAGGAAGAGGAAGAAAGAAAAGGAGGGAGAUGGAUUAAAUAUCUUGUUAACUUUCAUGUGUGUCUAUGUACUAGAUAUUUAAUUUAAUGCGGUCUCAGCUGUGUUGAUUUGGUCAGGUUGUGUGUCCAAAUGCAUACCAAACGCGCUCAUCAGAUAAGAUAUAGAUCAGAAUAUAUCCAUAGAUCUAAAUGUAUGUGCUGACUCAGAUUAUUAGUUGUUGAUGACUAUUUAUUGCACUGAAAUGUGCCUGAAACUGUGGAAACCUGCCGGUGAGGCAUUGGUGACGUAUGUGCACUAUGCCCCUGGUCUACCAAAAUACCACUAGACCAGCUGCGCUCUGCCUGCGCUGAAAGCUGACCAGGUUUGAAUCGGCGAGCUUUCAGCGCACUUUAUACCCCACCGGCGAGCACAAAAAUAUCACUGCGGCAGCUGAUUCUGUCGACACCUCCCUCUGCCACGCCACCACGCCCAGCUUGGCGGACCUCGUGCGCCUCAGUCCACGAAAAUAUCAAACUGGCUGUAUGAAAAAAAGCACUGUGCAGGGUCCACCACCCUCCACCACCUCACCAGCGCACACGAAAAUAGAGCCCAAUGUGUCAAUUUCCGACAGCGUCUUCCCAUUCCGCUGCGGAUCGCUGGACUCCACAGCUGAUCGCAAGAGUUCUAUCUUUUCUAGACGCCCGAGCAUGCCACAUAGAUUCAGCAAAGAUUUCUCCGUGCUGGAAAGGAAGUCGAGCACAGACACAAAAUAAAACAUCUAGCUUCUUUUCAAAAUAAAUCACUCUGUGUUUCAGGCGGAUUAUAUUUCACACCAUGCAAACGGGCGGGGACGAACAAGUGAAAGGUUUAUAGACAGCAUUUAAUCCCGAGAGGAUGCUGAUUUUAUAAGUCUAGAAGUAGAUUUCCUCCUCUGGAAGGACACAGUCUACUGCUUAUAUGGUUAGCCUGUGUGGCUAAAGACAACUCGUUAUCGCGCGAUUGCACGUGAAUCCGCAGGUUCUUGUGAGUUCUUGAGAUUCCUGCUGUCCGUAAUCUGCCACCAAGUUUGCCCUACAAACGGAUCCAGUAUGCAUACAGCAAAAAAUCGCUGCCGUUACGGAUCAGAGCCGUUACGGAUGCAGUGGAAAUCCUGGGUAAAGGUCAUGGAAAGGUGAGGUGUCACAUGUCACAACUUCAAAUCAGACCUCGUGUUUCUCUAUUUAAAAAUAAAACAAAAGCUAACCCAGUACUGAGGAAAUGUAUCCAUGGUCCUCUCAGACACUCUCUUCCACAUAAGGUCUCAGAAAUGUCGAUAUGGUAGUUUUUAGAAAAUGAAAUGCUGAUGUUAUGCUGAAAAUAAACAUAUAGCAACGCCCGGUUAACAGUUCACAGUGGCAAUCCUGUAUGCUGAUUGCCACAGGCCAUAAACCAGAGGGUAGACUAGAAACUGCUCCUUCCAGGAAACCAGCCAUAGUAAGCUAGCCCUCUGAGAGAUGACUCAGCACUUCUAUAAACCGACAUGCAAGGAUUUAUUAUGAAUUAAAAAACAACGUUCCAUCUUCAGGUUACUAAUCAUUCAACAUUUACACUUUCUACUCCAUAUUUUAGUUGGUUACGUUUAGUUCUGUAAAGUUCAAGCUACCAGGAGCAGUAUACUUCAAAAUAAAAGCAUAGCUUUACACUGCAAGCAAGGAAACACCCGUAAUGCAAGACAAAAAAUAUUGAAAUAAAGAAAGAUGAGGUUACCACUUUGUCGUCAGGGACACCAAAUUAGCACAGAAAGUACUUCACAGGAGCUUUAAGUACAGUGCUGCUCCUCUUCUGUCUUGCCGUUCCUCAAUUUAUCUGUUUUUGUUGUUGUCAAGUUUUCCAUCAAUAUUGCAAUAAUAUUGUUAUCAUAACUGUAAUUGCCACAAUAAUCACAGAGUGAAAACCUGAUACGGUGAUAGCCCUCAAUAAUGUCAAUACAGCUAUCAUGCCGUGUAUUUAUGUAUGUAUAUGCUGGUCUCAGCCCCCCUCUACUGUCCUAUAAAAACAGACUAGGAGGUGUGGAAACGGAUUCUAAUCUAAUCAAAUUUAUCAAUAAGUUUGGUUUGAUUUCUCCUCCUUAAAUUCAAAUUAACUCAAUUUGUCUAUCCAGAUGGUCUUGCAAGCUAUCACUGGAUUGGCUCAGAUAUUAAUGUGCAUUUAUUCUGUGGGUCAGAAGAGUAAAUAAGAACACACAACUUAAACAUACUAUUUGGGAUGUCAACAUGCUUUUGCAAACUAAAAAUGUUAAAAAUUAAAUAAUACUGAACAUGCAACUAAGGCAUGCAACCAUUUUAGGAGCAUUCAAGUGAAUCCUUUGCUCAAUCCAAAACCAGUAAAACAGGUUUUGGCUAACAGUUCGAUUUUUAUGUUGUCAAUUUCUUGUGAACAGAUACUUUAACCCUUUAUGAUAAGAAUGAAAUUUUGAUAGUAAAUUAUUAUCUAAGAAAUGCAUGAGAUGUACCUUGAACAUCUUUUCUGGCUGUCUUCUGUGUAUAAGUUAAAAGAUAUGUUAGCCAAUGAAUACCACAAAACCUAGACAUAUAAGUCAAUUUUUUUACCUUGCCUUUACUUUGCCUCACUAGUUAGAUAUAUUCUAUGUUACAAAGUCCUACUCUUUUGUACAUAUACUGUAUGUGCAGGAUUUUUCCACAUUAUAUCAACUCAAAUUGAACAAAUUUUGUGUGCAAUUCUUGCAAUCCGGCCCUGACAUUUAGGCCUUGAGAGACAUGAGAGGAAAACCCAAAAAAUUUACAAAAGUGAGAAAUGAAAAAUAUCCUUGAAAGUGAAAAAGAUUUUGGAUCGUGAGCCAAAUGUUCUUUAAUUUUGCUCUCCAUUCUCUGAGUCAGUGUACUUAACAUUGUUCUACUCAUCAAUUCCCACUCUGCUCUGUUUGGUGAAUGAUAGAUUUAUUGUGUUUACUGAGAACAACAGCUGAGGACAGAAACAUCAGCACAUCUCCUGCGUCACAGCUGAGAAACAGGAAGAUUUUUCUUCAGACCUCAGUGGACAAAGAAUCCAGAGUAAAUCUCAGAUCAAACAACACGCUGAAAAGUUGGAUCUCAAAAUAAAUAGCUACUGUCAAAGGGCCUGCAGGCAGGAGAGGGAAGAGAAGAUUGUCUCAAAUGAAAGACACCUCCUUGAAAUCCUAUUGAGCUAUUUUCAGUGAGACCCAGAAAAAAAGUGAGAGAAAAGAGUGCACUGGUAAAGGUCAGCGUGAGCCCAGAUCACAGAACCUGAAACAUGGCUCAAAGAUAAAGGGCGCAGUGAGAAAUAUAUCAAUUACGCCAUGACAUUUUCCACAGAGACAAAAGAGGAUGUAUAAAACCACACAAUAGUGUGGGUCUGUGGCCACUGCAUCCGCUGUUAAAGUCACAAAUAUUUGGUCAAGUUACAACCCCAUUGUGUAUUUAGUGUCUAAAUACUAUACAAGACCUUAAAAUACUAAAUACAUCCAGCUUCAUCCUUUCAGUUGUAAAGAUUUUCCCUAAAGAAGUCAUAUGUUACAGUACCAGGGGAUGAUUUGGCCACAGACCUUAAAUGUUGUCUCUAACUUAGUUGUGAAUUCAGAUUAUUUGGCCUAUUUCGUUUCAAAGAGCAAGUUUGAGCUGCAGCAUUACGCACACAGAAUCUCAAACAUUUUCAUCAUUCAUUACAUUCAAACACUCGCCCUGCAAGGUGCUCAACCCCGACCCAGAGUGAGUGCGAGUUCUGACUAAAUACUGAAAGCUGCUAACAUUAGCAGCUGGACCGAGACAAGUGCUGCAGAAGAGAAAGUACUAGUCUGUGUUUCUGUGACUGUAAUCUACCUCUCUGCACACAGCCAGUAUGACUCAUUUACAGAAGCUAGAGGCGUUGAUGCUCUUUUUCUUCAUAAGUGGUACAAAGUAACCUGUUAUGUUUAAUCACAUGUAAUCAAAUAAGUUUAUUUCUGCAUAAAGCCAUUAAUGAACCAAUUACAGUAACAUGAAGCCUGUGUAGGAAAAUAUAAGCUCAUUAAAAAAUAUAUGACCAUAUUGCUUACAUAUUUUUAGCCCUCUUUCACUAAUAUGGGGCUGAGUUUGAUUUGCACCUGCCGUCUACUUUCUAUCCCAAAUCUCAAAUGUAAAGCUCGAAGGUCAUAAAUGAGUUCAACAUGCAAACCCUAACUUACUGUAAU